This 662-nucleotide ribosomal RNA is filed under the name Acinetobacter baumannii. RNAcentral's name for it is "bacterial LSU rRNA". It matches the Rfam family "Bacterial large subunit ribosomal RNA", at positions 2287 to 2925 of the family's 2925-position model. The record is from RNAcentral. Lineage: Bacteria; Pseudomonadati; Pseudomonadota; Gammaproteobacteria; Moraxellales; Moraxellaceae.
CUCCUAAAGAGUAACGGAGGAGUACGAAGGUGCGCUCAGCGUGGUCGGAAAUCACGCGUAGAGUAUAAAGGCAAAAGCGCGCUUAACUGCGAGACCCACAAGUCGAGCAGGUACGAAAGUAGGUCUUAGUGAUCCGGUGGUUCUGUAUGGAAGGGCCAUCGCUCAACGGAUAAAAGGUACUCUGGGGAUAACAGGCUGAUACCGCCCAAGAGUUCAUAUCGACGGCGGUGUUUGGCACCUCGAUGUCGGCUCAUCUCAUCCUGGGGCUGAAGCAGGUCCCAAGGGUAUGGCUGUUCGCCAUUUAAAGAGGUACGCGAGCUGGGUUUAGAACGUCGUGAGACAGUUCGGUCCCUAUCUACCGUGGGCGCUGGAAAUUUGAGAGGAUCUGCUCCUAGUACGAGAGGACCAGAGUGGACGAACCUCUGGUGUACCGGUUGUGACGCCAGUCGCAUCGCCGGGUAGCUAUGUUCGGAAGGGAUAACCGCUGAAAGCAUCUAAGCGGGAAGCCUACCUCAAGAUAAGAUUUCCCUAGGACUUUAUGUCCUCUAAAGAGCCGUUCGAGACUAGGACGUUGAUAGGUUGGAUGUGGAAGCAUAGUGAUAUGUGAAGCUGACCAAUACUAAUUGCUCGUGAGGCUUGACUAUACAACACCCAAGCAGUUG